UAGGUAGAGGCGCACUCACGAAGAGUAGAUUUUGACAGGAUGGCCAGUCCGUUUGAUGCAGAAUCAGAAAGGCGUGCGUGCCGAAGAAAUUGUAUUGGCAACACAGUUUCUGGGCAUAUCUCCGAAAAGGAGUAUGACUGUCAUCGUUAUGAUGGAGUGCUAUCG
This 165-nucleotide non-coding RNA is filed under the name uncultured Ruminococcus sp. RNAcentral describes it as "Lysine riboswitch". It matches the Rfam family "Lysine riboswitch aptamer". From Rfam's summary of the family: Riboswitches are metabolite binding domains within certain messenger RNAs that serve as precision sensors for their corresponding targets. Lineage: Bacteria; Bacillati; Bacillota; Clostridia; Eubacteriales; Oscillospiraceae. The record is from RNAcentral.